UACAGAGGUCUCAAGCGUUGUUCGGAUUCAUUGGGCGUAAAGGGUGCGUAGGCGGCGCGGUAAGUCGGGUGUGAAAUCUCGGAGCUUAACUCCGAAACUGCAUUCGAUACUGCCGUGCUUGAGGACUGGAGAGGAGACUGGAAUUUACGGUGUAGCGGUGAAAUGCGUAGAUAUCUGGAGGAGUACCGGUGGCGAAGGCGGCAUCCUGGACCGACAUUGACGCUGAGGAGCGAAAGCUAGGGGAGCAAACGGG
RNAcentral lists this ribosomal RNA (253 nucleotides) under uncultured bacterium. Its description in RNAcentral is "partial 16S ribosomal RNA". It matches the Rfam family "Bacterial small subunit ribosomal RNA", at positions 524 to 776 of the family's 1533-position model. The record is from RNAcentral.